Molecule: ribosomal RNA, 995 nt
Filed under: uncultured bacterium
Lineage: Bacteria
Also listed under: 1 other name
Description: bacterial SSU rRNA
Rfam family: Bacterial small subunit ribosomal RNA
Source: RNAcentral
GGGGAAUAUUGCACAAUGGGGGAAACCCUGAUGCAGCGACGCCGCGUGGAGGAAGAAGGUCUUCGGAUUGUAAACUCCUGUUGUUGAGGAAGAUAAUGACGGUACUCAACAAGGAAGUGACGGCUAACUACGUGCCAGCAGCCGCGGUAAAACGUAGGUCACAAGCGUUGUCCGGAAUUACUGGGUGUAAAGGGAGCGCAGGCGGGAAGACAAGUUGGAAGUGAAAUCUAUGGGCUCAACCCAUAAACUGCUUUCAAAACUGUUUUUCUUGAGUAGUGCAGAGGUAGGCGGAAUUCCCGGUGUAGCGGUGGAAUGCGUAGAUAUCGGGAGGAACACCAGUGGCGAAGGCGGCCUACUGGGCACCAACUGACGCUGAGGCUCGAAAGUGUGGGUAGCAAACAGGAUUAGAUACCCUGGUAGUCCACACCGUAAACGAUGAUUACUAGGUGUUGGAGGAUUGACCCCUUCAGUGCCGCAGUUAACACAAUAAGUAAUCCACCUGGGGAGUACGACCGCAAGGUUGAAACUCAAAGGAAUUGACGGGGGCCCGCACAAGCAGUGGAGUAUGUGGUUUAAUUCGACGCAACGCGAAGAACCUUACCAAGUCUUGACAUCCUGCGACGAUGCUGGAAACAGUAUUUUCCUUCGGGACGCAGAGACAGGUGGUGCAUGGUUGUCGUCAGCUCGUGUCGUGAGAUGUUGGGUUAAGUCCCGCAACGAGCGCAACCCUUACUGUCAGUUACUACGCAAGAGGACUCUGGCAGGACUGCCGUUGACAAAACGGAGGAAGGUGGGGAUGACGUCAAAUCAUCAUGCCCUUUAUGACUUGGGCUACACACGUACUACAAUGGCGUUAAACAAAGAGAAGCAAGACCGCGAGGUGGAGCAAAACUCAGAAACAACGUCCCAGUUCGGACUGCAGGCUGCAACUCGCCUGCACGAAGUCGGAAUUGCUAGUAAUCGUGGAUCAGCAUGCCACGGUGAAUACGUUCCCG